This is a long non-coding RNA of Xiphophorus couchianus (Monterrey platyfish), 1872 nucleotides long. RefSeq lists it as uncharacterized. Lineage: Eukaryota; Metazoa; Chordata; Actinopteri; Cyprinodontiformes; Poeciliidae. The record is from RefSeq and is a predicted model, not a curated record. The transcript has 2 exons.
ACAACAUUGUGAAUUAUUAAGUAUAAAACCAGGACAUACUUUCAAGAUACAGCUGAAGCCAAAUAGUACUUUACUUUUUCCUGUGUUUACUGACAACAUAUUGUUUAUCUGAGGUCCUGUUCAGACCUGACAUCAACAUGAAUCCUGACUAAGUUGCAAGUGAACAGCCCUAAACAUGACUGUUAACCUCUGGAAUGGUGAUUAAAAAAUUGUUUUAAACUUACUAGAACUUAUUCAAAAGCCUUUUCAAAUAUAAGCAAUUUUCACACCCCUGGCAGAUUAGGGUCAAAAUGUUCCUUCUGACUGAUCGUAGGGCUGGAUGAUUUGGCUGAAAAAUGUAUCACAAUAUAAAGGUUUUCUAUUGGUCGAUAUGAAUGAUUAGCAACUCCAGGAGAAAAGUUGUUGUAUUUCAUCUAUUGCACGUCAUUUUCAGGAUGCCUAUUGGUGCCUGGAAAAACAACAACUGUACAUUUUCAAUGAAUCAAUGAAAUCUCCCUGGACAGAAAGUGAAAAGUGGACAUGUCGGAGGAAAAAAAGGACAUUUGGUCACCCUAUGUUACGCUGAAAGACUGGUCUAUAGUUAUGCUAAUUGCAUUUAGCAAUUGUCAACAACUCACUGGCAGAAGAGAGAACAUAAUCCAUAAAUAGAGCUUUGGAGCGUGACGUCACUGCUCUAAGCAGAGGGAUUUGAGCCCCAUCUUGUAUGGCCAUAAACAUAACCGAGAAAAGAACAUAACCAACUGUCUCACAGAUAUUUUGAAUUUUUGAAUAUUUUAAGUUACUUAAAAUUAUUUAGCAAUGGUACAAACUUGCUGCAUUAUUGGAUGUAAUGUCCGAUCACACGACCGAAACGGUAAAAAGAUGGAAAAAGGACUUUCGUUUCACUUUUUUCCUGCCUGUAAACAACGCGAGGAGGCUAAGCUAAUGGAGCUAAGCUAUCGGAGCUAACGAAAAGAAGACAAAUGUCCUGGGUAUCAGCGGUGAGACGUCCUGAUAUGACGUUCUCCAAAUUCACAAGAUAUCUACGAGUUUGCUCCAGACAUGUCCAUUCUGGCAAACCGACGUAUGAAAUGGAUUAGCUCAAUCCAGACUGAAUCUGGGUCACUGUGAGGUAAAUGCCACAACAUCAGACCGACAUGCGCGUCAAUUAAAGAGGCAAUACAGCAAAACCACGGUGGAUCAACAAGUUACAGAGACUGUAUUUUCAUUAUUUACCCCAGAAGAGGUAAAUAAUGAAAACACAGCAGCUGAGGCUGUAGAAGAGGAGCAAGUUGGAGAGACUGAGGAGGAAACCCCAGGAGAAGAACUCAGCAAUUCUGCACACUCUGAAGAGGAACAUGAACCAUUUGUGUUGAAAUAAAUGUGUACAGUUGGAAGUGGCUGUUUUCUCUCAUUUUAUAAUUUAAUGUGGUAAACAUUCAUGAAACCUUGGAUUCAAGCACUUCAAGUUGCAUGUAAACAGGUGAUGAAAUGAAUCACAUUUUACGUACAAAUUUGAUAUUUAAAAUAUUUCAGGUAAUAAACAUGCAUGUAAUGAAAGAUUAUGUUUUUAAAUAAACAUUUUAUGUGAUUAAAGUAAACAAUUAUAUAAUCAGACAUUUUGCAGUAAACAUUUAAUUUAACAGGCAAACCAGAUGAAAGGGCCCAUCUUUAAACAUUUAAUGUGUAAUUAAACAGUUCAGAGUAAACAAUAAAGGUAAAUAUUAUGAAAAAGAUCACACUUUAAGGAAAUAUUUGUUGUAUUUAACAUAUUUCAGGUAAGAAGUGCACAUGUAAUGAAAAUAGAUCCUGUCCUAGAAUUUUAUGUAAUUGAACAUUACAGGUAACAAAUGUGAUGAUCAUCUGAGGUAAUACAUUUUAUGAACAUUUUUA